This 754-nucleotide ribosomal RNA is filed under the name uncultured bacterium. Its description in RNAcentral is "bacterial SSU rRNA". It matches the Rfam family "Bacterial small subunit ribosomal RNA", at positions 667 to 1421 of the family's 1533-position model. The record is from RNAcentral.
UNCCAUGUGUAGCGGUGAAAUGCGUAGAUAUAUGGAGGAACNCCAGUGGCGAAAGCGGCUCUCUGGUCUGUCACUGACGCUGAGGCUCGAAAGCGUGGGUAGCGAACAGGAUUAGAUACCCUGGUAGUNCACGCCGUAAACGAUGAGUGCUAGGUGUUAGGCCCUUUCCGGGGCUUAGUGCCGGAGCUAACGCAAUAAGCACUCCGCCUGGGGAGUACGACCGCAAGGUUGAAACUCAAAGGAAUUGACGGGGGCCCGCACAAGCGGUGGAGCAUGUGGUUUAAUUCGAAGCAACGCGAAGAACCUUACCAGGUCUUGACAUCCCGAUGCUAUUCUUAGAGAUAGGAAGUUACUUCGGUACAUCGGAGACAGGUGGUGCAUGGUUGUCGUCAGCUCGUGUCGUGAGAUGUUGGGUUAAGUCCCGCAACGAGCGCAACCCUUAUUGUUAGUUGCCAUCAUUAAGUUGGGCACUCUAGCGAGACUGCCGGUAAUAAACCGGAGGAAGGUGGGGAUGACGUCAAAUCAUCAUGCCCCUUAUGACCUGGGCUACACACGUGCUACAAUGGUCGGUACAACGAGUUGCGAGCCGGUGACGGCAAGCUAAUCUCUGAAAGCCGAUCUCAGUUCGGAUUGGAGGCUGCAACUCGCCUCCAUGAAGUCGGAAUCGCUAGUAAUCGCGGAUCAGCACGCCGCGGUGAAUACGUUCCCGGGCCUUGUACACACCGCCCGUCACACCACGAGAGUUUGUAACACC